Molecule: ribosomal RNA, 662 nt
Filed under: Pratylenchus thornei
Lineage: Eukaryota; Metazoa; Nematoda; Chromadorea; Rhabditida; Pratylenchidae
Description: eukaryotic LSU rRNA
Rfam family: Eukaryotic large subunit ribosomal RNA
Source: RNAcentral
GAAAGUUGCAAAGCACUUUGAAGAGAGAGUUAAAUAGGACGUGAAACCGGUGAGGUGGAAACGGAUAGAGCCAGCGUAUCUGUUCCUGCAUUCAUCUACGUGGUAGUCGCGCGCCCCAGCUCUGGCGACUCCAGAUUGGGACGGAGUUGGGGUUGUACACCGCCCGUGGUGCAUUUGCAGGCGUGUGCGCUGAGCUGUUCGAGGUGUUGGGAUGAACUUGGUUUUGAGGCCAGCUUGCUGGUACCCGGACCGGGGGAGUGCCAUUCGCCUUGGGCUUUUAUGUUGGAUAUGGCUUACGGGCUCGUAUGGGCGCCGAGCUGGUCGUCGGCGGCGGUCGCAUGCGACACGUGCUGUGCGUGCCAGUUCGGUCCUGUGCGAGCUCACAUGUCCCAGGCUCAGUGUAAGAGCUGGUCAUCUAUCCGACCCGUCCUGAAACACGGACCAAGGAGUUUAUCGUGUGCGCAAGUCAUUGGGUGUUGAAAACCCAGAGGCGCAAUGAAAGUGAAGGUAUCCCUCGCGGAGCCGACGUGCGAGCACGGGCACUGCGGUGUCCGAGUGCAGCAUGGCCCCAUCCUGACUGCUUGCAGUGGGGUGGAGGAAGAGCGUACGCGGAGAGACCCGAAAGAUGGUGAACUAUUCCUGAGCAGGAUGAAGCCAGAGGA